AUUUUUGUGGUGUAUUUGCCCGAAAGAUUUUCAAUUCUUAAGAAUAAUAUUAAUUUAUUAUCAAAAGUAG
RNAcentral lists this transfer RNA (70 nucleotides) under Cistopus taiwanicus. Its description in RNAcentral is "tRNA-Glu". Lineage: Eukaryota; Metazoa; Mollusca; Cephalopoda; Octopoda; Octopodidae. The record is from RNAcentral.